GCUAGGUGUGGUGGCGUGCACCUGUAAUCCCAGCUACUUGGGAGGCUGAGGUGGAAGAAUUGCUUGAACCCGGGAGACAGAGGUUGCAGUGAGCCAGGAUCAUGCCACUGCACUCCAGCCUGGGUGACAGAGCGAGACUCGGUCUCAA
This 148-nucleotide non-coding RNA is filed under the name Homo sapiens (human). Lineage: Eukaryota; Metazoa; Chordata; Mammalia; Primates; Hominidae. The record is from Rfam by way of RNAcentral.